CACUGAGAAAGAAACUUCCACAAGUUGUGGAAAUCACUGCUGGUCGAACGAAAACUUCGCUGUAGCAUGAAAUGCGAAGUGGCACCUUGGAUGCGGCUAAUGGAGCUAUCGUGGUCCUAAAAGUAACUCUCAGGGCACCUCAGAGGGAUUCGUUUCUUCCCUUUCAGCCUCCCUGUCUUGCAGGGGACGUUUUUCAUUGCUCGUCUCUCGGUCCCCCUUCGGGCUCGUUGUUAAUCAUCAGGCGCCGGGACUUCCAGGCAUGUAGGAGUGUGCUUGGAGGGAGCUUGGACAAUGCAUCACUUCAGGUUCCUGAGUCUCUACUGAAACCAAAAAGAGGAGAUCCUGUUCCCCAGCUGGAGAAGCAGCAGGGAGCCAAAAUAGGAGCCGAAGCCCCAGAAAGCGGUGGGGUAUAGCUGUGAAUCCUAGCAACAGGCGGAGAGAGAACUGUACGUUUCUUCACGUCCUCCAAGUGUUGGUGCCUUCUGUUACAUCAUUUACAGGAAGCAACAGAGACCCUGGAAAGGCCCUUCUUGCCGAUGCAUCAAGAAAGGGCAGGGUUUUUUCCAGUGGGAUGGUCUGUUGCACAGGAGCUGUCGGCCAUGCUGUUCCAGUUCAGGGGCUCCUGCAACAGAAAAGAUCAGCUGUUGGAGAACCCAUGGAAAGCCCUGGGGGAGAGCCAUGGCCGCAAGAGGACCAGGCAAUUCCAGGCACAACUCUAGCAGAUGGUUUUGGUGAUGGAAAGCACAAGGGGAUCGCUCCCAGGAGCUGCUCAGGCAGUUAAGUCAAAAAUGAACUGAUGCAUGUAGUGAGCCACGGCCCUGGCCCAGCCGACUCCAGGCACUUCCCUCUGUACAAGCAGCCUGUGCUGCCCCCAUUUCUACACCCAGCUUUCUCUGCCUCUAAUCAGAAAAUCUUCUGGAAGGGGGGAUUGAGCUUUUCUCUUUCCUGAGCUCUCUGAGCCAGCUUGUGUCAGAGAAAACAGAAUGUGAACCCCAGUUCAGCCAUACCUCUGCUGAUCCUGCCCACCACAGCAUUGCCCUGACACCCCACACCGAUGAAAACCUGAUCAUGCUGGAGA
Long non-coding RNA from Myiozetetes cayanensis, 1078 nucleotides. RefSeq lists it as uncharacterized. NCBI's taxonomy places the organism in Eukaryota, Metazoa, Chordata, Aves, Passeriformes, Tyrannidae. The transcript is spliced from 5 exons. The record is from RefSeq and is a predicted model, not a curated record.